Molecule: long non-coding RNA, 1386 nt
Filed under: Homo sapiens (human)
Lineage: Eukaryota; Metazoa; Chordata; Mammalia; Primates; Hominidae
Description: HSALNT0048756
Source: RNAcentral
CACACUGCUCAUGUCAGGGUCUUGUGGAGCUCAGGUGUCAGCAGGUGUCAGCAUGGGUGCAUCACGUGUUCCGCUGGGAGACCAGGCACGCUGCAUAGUCCCAGCCAUCUCUUUGUCUACCAGGCCCCGUCCUAGGAUCCACACUGGGCUGUCGAUGACUGUGAUUCUACUGGGGUCGAGGAAUGUGAAUGAGCUCAGCAUAGCUACCCACCUGGCCUCCGUUGCCCUUGUGUUCAGUGAGGGGACAUCAGCCUGGCUGUGAAGGCCCUUCCUGGGUGAUUCUAGAAGUGGCUGAGGGGUGGGUUGUUGCUGGGCUGGUUCCAUCCAUCCCUGAGGGCAGGUUCUCCCACAAACAGGGCACAGCUCACUGGGAUGACAGAAAGCAAUCUUCGGCCAAGCAGGGAAAUAAAGGAGCUGGGAUGGUUUACAGCUAUGCUUAAACUUCCGGGCAUCCAGCCGAGUGAGGUGGCUCAGGCCUGUAAUCCCAGGAGUUUGGGAGGCUGAGGCAGGUGGAUCGCUUGAGUCCAGGAGUUAGAUACCAGCCUAGGCAAUACGGGCAAAACCGCAUCUCUGAAAAAAAUACAAAAAUUAGCUGGGCGUGGUGGCAUGCCCCUGAAGACCCACCUACUUGGGAGGCUGAGGUGGGAGGAUCACUUGAGCCUGGGAGGCAGAGGUUGCAGAGAGCCAUGGUUGCGCUACUGCACUCCAGCUUGGGUGCGAGUGAGACCCUGCCUCAAAAAACAAACAAACAAACCAAAAAAACCUGAGAAGAAAAAAAUCUUCCAGGUAUUCACCUGUGUACCAAAGUUCAGCAGGCGAUGCUGUCCCCAUCAGUAUCCUCAGGGGCUAGCCUCUGCACCAGGUCCUGGUUCUGCCAUCCACAGCUUUGUGAGCAGGACUUGAGCCCAGGGGUUACUGCCUGGUGACCUUGGCAAGGGAGGAGCCCUCUAUGGUCUCCAGUGUUGCCAUCAGCAGAUGAGAGGUGACGGGUGCCCAAGCGCUGGCUUGCAGCUGCCACGAUGAAGGAUUGGCAUGCCUGCCCCCUGUUUCCUCCCCAGGUCUGCACAGCUCCCCCGCCUCGGCUGCGAGCUUGCCUCAGAGUUCUCAGGGCCUAGGAUGUUGGGGGUGCCCCUCAGCCCUGGGGGCCCUGUGGGUUCCACCUCUGUACAGAUUCAGGAAGGAUUUGAAGCCAGCAGAGAGAGUCCUUAGAAUGAGCAGGAAUCCACAUCCUAGUGUCCUGGUGUGACCCCUGCCCUGUGACUCCUCUUCAUAUGGUCCAAGCCGGUACACUCUGCUGUAGCAGAAAUAAACCAACCUCAAGCAGCAUGGUGGAAUAGGAAGCUCCUGAAUCUCCCCCGACCCAGAAAUGCACCAGAUAGGUCUAUU